GACGAACCGAGCGAACGUUAUUCGGAAUCACUGGGCUUAAAGGGCGCGUAGGCGGGCCGUCAAGUCGAGGGUGAAAUCCCCCAGCUCAACUGGGGAAGUGCCUCCGAUACUGGCGGUCUCGAGGGGGAUAGGGGCAUGCGGAACUUCCGGUGGAGCGGUGAAAUGCGUAGAUAUCGGAAGGAACACCGGUGGCGAAAGCGGCGUGCUGGGUCCCUUCUGACGCUGAGGCGCGAAAGCCAGGGGAGCGAACGGG
This 253-nucleotide ribosomal RNA is filed under the name uncultured bacterium. Its description in RNAcentral is "partial 16S ribosomal RNA". It matches the Rfam family "Bacterial small subunit ribosomal RNA", at positions 524 to 776 of the family's 1533-position model. The record is from RNAcentral.